ACACGGACAGGUGAAGGAGCUUGCGAGGAAGAGAAUCUUUGUUAUCGAGUGACUUCGUCUACGCUGAAAAGGAUAAUCAAUCUAGUGCAAUAUUUCUUGCUUAAUGAAUCUCUUCUGCUAGAGAACAGCCAUUUACAGUGCUACAAUGGAUUAAUAUCAGCCAGUUCGAACCUUUUCCGUAGGAUGCGCGAACCGCGAGUGAAACGCGUACGACUACACGAAGCCACGUGCGCCUCCACUACACAGCGCACUUUGGUCCGUCAAACAAGUGAAUAUCGCGCGCGUGAUAUUCAUAUACACAGGCUCCCUCGGCCGUAACCUCCAGAAAACCGGAACAGGGAAACUCGGCUUACACGCGGAAAGAGAGAGAAAAUUUGUAUUUCAGCUGUCGCGAUAACGAAAUGAAUUUAAUUAAAAUGGCAUGAUCCGAUCUGGCGGUGAGAAAGUCUUGACAUGAUGUCAAAUGAAACUUCCUGUUUGAGAAAUGUGCUCUGACAACUUCUGUGAGCGGCAAAUAUGGUCAGAUACACAUGUUCAUUGGACACUACCUUUGGAGUUAAUCGCCCUACAGACACAUGUUUCAUCUCGCGGAAGAUAUUCUUCCUGGUUACAGGGAUGAAGUUCCAGAGGUGAAAAUGUCGCUACAGAUUAUGCCCCGGCAAUAUUUCAGGAAUUUCUGAUAUUUUAAAGACUUUGAAAAAUGCCUCCGUAGUCCGCAAACAAUGUGUUAUCUCCACGAUCAAACAUGUAACACAUGUGAUAAGCUCAUAGUGCAUGAGUUUUUGCCAGUGGGGGUGAGGUCUUCCUGUUUUCGUUUCGUCAAACGAACCUUCAGUUGUGAAUUGUGAUAUCUGCCUCACACUGCAUUUUUUUUUUUAAAGAAAUGGUAAUUAAAAAGUAACUUUUCAUGCCUAGUUUUAAUAUGUUGCGGGCCGGUUUGUCUAGGCAAAACCUGUGUAUUUUGUGGACUUUCAAGUGGAAAACGUGCAAAUUAUAUUUAUAGUUUUCUCAGUGAAAAGGUUUGCACAACCCUAACUGCUUUAUAAUAAUAAAAAAUCGUCGCUGCUGAAAAAAUAUUUACCACUUAAAAGUGACAGGCAAAAUCGCAUUCGAAUAGGUCUGUUUGCAGCUUAAUUACAUCGCUACUAUUUGAC
Orbicella faveolata is the source of this 1154-nucleotide long non-coding RNA. RefSeq lists it as uncharacterized. Lineage: Eukaryota; Metazoa; Cnidaria; Anthozoa; Scleractinia; Merulinidae. The record is from RefSeq and is a predicted model, not a curated record.